Molecule: ribosomal RNA, 464 nt
Filed under: Vreelandella stevensii
Lineage: Bacteria; Pseudomonadati; Pseudomonadota; Gammaproteobacteria; Oceanospirillales; Halomonadaceae
Description: partial 16S ribosomal RNA
Rfam family: Bacterial small subunit ribosomal RNA
Source: RNAcentral
CCUACGGGCGGCAGCAGUGGGGAAUAUUGGACAAUGGGCGAAAGCCUGAUCCAGCCAUGCCGCGUGUGUGAAGAAGGCCUUCGGGUUGUAAAGCACUUUCAGUGGGGAAGAAAGCCUUGGGGCUAAUACCCUCGAGGAAGGACAUCACCCACAGAAGAAGCACCGGCUAACUCCGUGCCAGCAGCCGCGGUAAUACGGAGGGUGCGAGCGUUAAUCGGAAUUACUGGGCGUAAAGCGCGCGUAGGCGGUCUGAUAAGCCGGUUGUGAAAGCCCCGGGCUCAACCUGGGAACGGCAUCCGGAACUGUCAGGCUAGAGUGCAGGAGAGGAAGGUAGAAUUCCCGGUGUAGCGGUGAAAUGCGUAGAGAUCGGGAGGAAUACCAGUGGCGAAGGCGGCCUUCUGGACUGACACUGACGCUGAGGUGCGAAAGCGUGGGUAGCAAACAGGAUUAGAUACCCUAGAGUC